Molecule: ribosomal RNA, 383 nt
Filed under: Anaplasma phagocytophilum
Lineage: Bacteria; Pseudomonadati; Pseudomonadota; Alphaproteobacteria; Rickettsiales; Anaplasmataceae
Description: bacterial SSU rRNA
Rfam family: Bacterial small subunit ribosomal RNA
Source: RNAcentral
AAAACAUUAGGUGGCAGACGGGUGAGUAUGCAUANGGAUCUACCUAUUAGUAUGGGAUAGCCACUAGAAAUGGCGAUAUAAUACUGUAUAAUCCCUGCGGGGGAAAGAUUUAUCGCUCUUAGAUGAGCCUAUGUUAGAUUAGCUAGUUGGUAGGGUAAAGGCCUACCAAGGCGAUGAUCUAUAGCUGGUCUGAGAGGAUGAUCAGCCACACUGGAACUGAGAUACGGUCCAGACUCCUACGGGAGGCAGCAGUGGGGAAUAUUGGACAAUGGGCGCAAGCCUGAUCCAGCUAUGCCGCGUGAGUGAGGAAGGCCUUAGGGUUGUAAAACUCUUUCAGUAGGGAAGAUAAUGACGGUACCUACAGAAGAAGUCCGGGCAAACUC